This 442-nucleotide ribosomal RNA is filed under the name uncultured bacterium. Its description in RNAcentral is "bacterial SSU rRNA". It matches the Rfam family "Bacterial small subunit ribosomal RNA", at positions 355 to 787 of the family's 1533-position model. The record is from RNAcentral.
UAGGGAAUCUUCCACAAUGGGCGAAAGCCUGAUGGAGCAAUGCCGCGUGAAUGAAGAAGGUCUUCGGAUCGUAAAGUUCUGUUAUUAGAGAAGAACAAGUCAAGGAGUAACUGUCUUGACUUUGACGGUACCUAACCAGAAAGUCACGGCUAACUACGUGCCAGCAGCCGCGGUAAUACGUAGGUGACAAGCGUUGUCCGGAAUUAUUGGGCGUAAAGGGAGCGCAGGCGGUUGGAAUAGUCUGAUGUGAAAGCCCACGGCUUAACCGUGGAAUUGCAUUGGAAACUGUCCAACUUGAAUGCAGAAGAGGAAAGCGGAAUUCCAUGUGUAGCGGUGAAAGUGCGUAGAUAUAUGGAGGAACACCAGUGGCGAAGGCGGCUUUCUGGUCUGUGAUUGACGCUGAGGCUCGAAAGCGUGGGGGAGCGAACAGGAUUAGAUACCC